UCUGGAUUCUCAUACUCAAGAAAAUAUGAAGGGUAUGAUGCCAACGAUACUAUUUGGUCCGAACAGGCUUCUAAGUUUCUUUUACAGUGGCUUGUUGAGCACCCACAGUUCAUCUCCAAUCCCCUCUACAUUGCUGGGGAUUCAUAUGCUGGAAAAAUUGUACCUAUGGUGGCCAAAAGAAUAUUGGAUGGUAUUGAUGAAGGGAAAGAGCCAUUACUUAACCUCCAGG
Long non-coding RNA from Zingiber officinale, 229 nucleotides. RefSeq lists it as uncharacterized. NCBI's taxonomy places the organism in Eukaryota, Viridiplantae, Streptophyta, Magnoliopsida, Zingiberales, Zingiberaceae. The transcript has 3 exons. The record is from RefSeq and is a predicted model, not a curated record.